GACGAACGCUGGCGGCGUGCUUAACACAUGCAAGUCGAACGGAAAGGCCCUGCUUUUGUGGGGUGCUCGAGUGGCGAACGGGUGAGUAACACGUGAGUAACCUGCCCUUGACUCUGGGAUAACUUCAGGAAACUGGGGCUAAUACCGGAUAGGAGCUCCUGCUGCAUGGUGGGGGUUGGAAAGUUUCGGCGGUUGGGGAUGGACUCGCGGCUUAUCAGCUUGUUGGUGGGGUAGUGGCCUACCAAGGCUUUGACGGGUAGCCGGCCUGAGAGGGUGACCGGCCACAUUGGGACUGAGAUACGGCCCAGACUCCUACGGGAGGCAGCAGUGGGGAAUAUUGCACAAUGGGCGGAAGCCUGAUGCAGCAACGCCGCGUGCGGGAUGACGGCCUUCGGGUUGUAAACCGCUUUCGCCUGUGACGAAGCGUGAGUGACGGUAAUGGGUAAAGAAGCACCGGCUAACUACGUG
RNAcentral lists this ribosomal RNA (468 nucleotides) under uncultured bacterium. RNAcentral's name for it is "partial 16S ribosomal RNA". It matches the Rfam family "Bacterial small subunit ribosomal RNA", at positions 28 to 507 of the family's 1533-position model. The record is from RNAcentral.